Erinaceus europaeus (western European hedgehog) is the source of this 95-nucleotide long non-coding RNA. RefSeq lists it as uncharacterized. The transcript has 3 exons. NCBI's taxonomy places the organism in Eukaryota, Metazoa, Chordata, Mammalia, Eulipotyphla, Erinaceidae. The record is from RefSeq and is a predicted model, not a curated record.
GAGCAAACCCAGGCAAAGUUGAAAACCUCUCGUUCUGAUUCAGAGAAAAUCAAGGAAGAGUUGGAGCAAACCCAGGCAGAAUUGGGUAAAUAUUU